GAUGAACGCUAGCGGGAGGCCUAACACAUGCAAGCCGAGCGGUAUUGUUUCUUCGGAAAUGAGAGAGCGGCGUACGGGUGCGUAACACGUGUGCAACCUGCCUUUAUCUGGGGGAUAGCCUUUCGAAAGGAAGAUUAAUACUCCAUAAUAUAUUGAACGGCAUCGUUUAAUAUUGAAAGCUCCGGCGGAUAGAGAUGGGCACGCGCAAGAUUAGCUAGUUGGUGAGGUAACGGCUCACCAAGGCGAUGAUCUUUAGGGGGCCUGAGAGGGUGAUCCCCCACACUGGUACUGAGACACGGACCAGACUCCUACGGGAGGCAGCAGUGAGGAAUAUUGAUCAAUGGGUGCAAGCCUGAACCAGCCAUCCCGCGUGAAGGACGACUGCCCUAUGGGUUGUAAACUUCUUUUGUAUAGGGAGAAACCUACCCUCGAGAGGGUAGCUGAAGGUACUAUACGAAUAAGCACCGGCUAACUCCGUG
Molecule: ribosomal RNA, 479 nt
Filed under: uncultured bacterium
Lineage: Bacteria
Description: partial 16S ribosomal RNA
Rfam family: Bacterial small subunit ribosomal RNA
Source: RNAcentral